UACGAAGGGGGCUAGCGUUGCUCGGAAUCACUGGGCGUAAAGCGCACGUAGGCGGCUUUUUAAGUCAGGGGUGAAAUCCUGGAGCUCAACUCCAGAACUGCCUUUGAUACUGGAAAGCUCGAGUCCGGAAGAGGUGAGUGGAACUGCGAGUGUAGAGGUGAAAUUCGUAGAUAUUCGCAAGAACACCAGUGGCGAAGGCGGCUCACUGGCCGAUACUGACGCUGAGGCACGAAAGCGUGGGGAGCAAACAGG
Molecule: ribosomal RNA, 252 nt
Filed under: uncultured bacterium
Lineage: Bacteria
Description: partial 16S ribosomal RNA
Rfam family: Bacterial small subunit ribosomal RNA
Source: RNAcentral